GAAUGCUGACAUAAGUAACGAUAAAGCGGGUGAAAAGCCCGCUCGCCGGAAGACCAAGGGUUCCUGUCCAACGUUAAUCGGGGCAGGGUGAGUCGACCCCUAAGGCGAGGCCGAAAGGCGUAGUCGAUGGGAAACGGGUUAAUAUUCCCGUACUUGGUGUUACUGCGAAGGGGGGACGGAGAAGGCUAUGUUGGCCGGGCGACGGUUGUCCCGGUUUAAGCGUGUAGGUGUGUGUUCCAGGUAAAUCCGGUUCACUUUAACACUGAGGCGUGACGACGAGGCACUACGGUGCUGAAGCAACAAAUGCCCUGCUUCCAGGAAAAGCCUCUAAGCAUCAGGUAACAUCAAAUCGUACCCCAAACCGACACAGGUGGUCAGGUAGAGAAUACCAAGGCGCUUGAGAGAACUCGGGUGAAGGAACUAGGCAAAAUGGUGCCGUAACUUCGGGAGAAGGCACGCUGACACGUAGGUGAAGUG
Molecule: ribosomal RNA, 477 nt
Filed under: Salmonella enterica
Lineage: Bacteria; Pseudomonadati; Pseudomonadota; Gammaproteobacteria; Enterobacterales; Enterobacteriaceae
Also listed under: 1 other name
Description: partial 23S ribosomal RNA
Rfam family: Bacterial large subunit ribosomal RNA
Source: RNAcentral